Molecule: transfer RNA, 69 nt
Filed under: Ictidomys tridecemlineatus (thirteen-lined ground squirrel)
Lineage: Eukaryota; Metazoa; Chordata; Mammalia; Rodentia; Sciuridae
Description: Spermophilus tridecemlineatus (thirteen-lined ground squirrel) tRNA
Rfam family: tRNA
About the family: Transfer RNA (tRNA) molecules are approximately 80 nucleotides in length.
Source: Rfam by way of RNAcentral
GGGGUUGUGGCUCAGCAGUAGAGCGCUCUCCUUGCACGUGAGAGAACCUAAGUUCGAUCUUUGGCACCA